UAUUGCACAAUCGGGGGAAACCCUGAUGCAGCCAUGCCGCGUGUGUGAAGAAGGCCUUCGGGUUGUAAAGCACUUUCAGUAGGGAGGAAGGUAGUGUAGUUAACACCUGCAUUAUUUGACGUUACCUACAGAAGAAGCACCGGCUAACUCCGUGCCAGCAGCCGCGGUAAUACGGAGGGUGCGAGCGUUAAUCGGAAUUACUGGGCGUAAAGCGCAUGCAGGCGGCCUGUUAAGUCAGAUGUGAAAGACCCGGGGCUUAACCUCGGAAUUGCAUUUGAAACUGGCAGGCUAGAGUCUUGUAGAGGGGGGUAGGAAUUUCAGGUGUAGCGGUGAAAUGCGUAGAGAUCUGAAGGAAUACCAGUGGCGAAGGCGGCCCCCUGGACAAAGACUGACGCUCAGAUGCGAAAGCGUGGGGAGCAAACAGGAUUAGAUACCCUGGUAG
Molecule: ribosomal RNA, 442 nt
Filed under: uncultured bacterium
Lineage: Bacteria
Description: bacterial SSU rRNA
Rfam family: Bacterial small subunit ribosomal RNA
Source: RNAcentral